AUUGAACGCUGGCGGCAGGCCUAACACAUGCAAGUCGAACGAGAGGCGGACGGGUGAGUAAUGUAUGGGGAACUGCCCGAUGGAGGGGGAUAACUACUGGAAACGGUGGCUAAUACCGCAUACUGUCGGAUGACCCCAUAUGGGAUUAGCUUGUAGGUAAGGUAACGGCUCACCUAGGCGACGAUCCCUAGCUGGUCUGAGAGGAUGAUCAGCCACACUGGAACUGAGACACGGCCCAGACUCCUACGGGAGGCAGCAGUGGGGAAUAUUGCACAAGGGGCGCAAGCCUGAUGCAGCCAUGCCGCGGGUAUGAAGAAGGCCCUAGGGUUGUAAAGUACUUUCAGUCGGGAGGCGUUACCGACAGAAGAAGCACCGGCUAACUCCGUGCCAGCAGCCGCGGUAAUAC
RNAcentral lists this ribosomal RNA (406 nucleotides) under uncultured bacterium. Its description in RNAcentral is "partial 16S ribosomal RNA". It matches the Rfam family "Bacterial small subunit ribosomal RNA", at positions 30 to 526 of the family's 1533-position model. The record is from RNAcentral.